This 74-nucleotide transfer RNA is filed under the name Microscillaceae bacterium. Its description in RNAcentral is "tRNA-OTHER". It matches the Rfam family "tRNA". From Rfam's summary of the family: Transfer RNA (tRNA) molecules are approximately 80 nucleotides in length. Their secondary structure includes four short double-helical elements and three loops (D, anti-codon, and T loops). The record is from RNAcentral. Lineage: Bacteria; Pseudomonadati; Bacteroidota; Cytophagia; Cytophagales; Microscillaceae.
AGAAUGUUGGUGUAAUUGGAAACACGUUGCCUAGCAAGGCGAAGAUGCGGGUUCGAGUCCCGUACAUUCUACCA